RNAcentral lists this non-coding RNA (717 nucleotides) under Mongoloniscus sinensis. Lineage: Eukaryota; Metazoa; Arthropoda; Malacostraca; Isopoda; Agnaridae. The record is from RNAcentral.
UCAAAGUUUUAUUCUAGCUUUACAAACUCACGGGAAAUGUACUAUAUGGAUUCUUUUGAGUAAAUUAAUAAAGAAAUUUUUAUUUAAUACUUCCAAUAGUAAAAUUUGGUAGCAGGUUUAUCUGGGGCCAGCAUAAUUCUGAUAAAACUAGUGCCAGCAGUCGCGGUUAGACUAGUAGGAAUGAGUUUAAUUCAAAGAGAAGAUGGAAUAAUGGUUUCUUAAAGAGAGGUGGAAUCUUCAUUUUUUGAACCUUUAAAUUACUAUUAAAUUCGAAACCUAAGAAAUAAACAAGGAUUAGAUACCCUUCUAUACUUAGGAGUAAGUAUCUUAAGAGAGUAGUUGUUAAGAUCUUGAAAUCUAAAGAAUAUGACGGUGUUUAAACUAAUCAGAGGAACCUGCCCAAUAAACGAUAAUCCACGAUAAAUCUUACCCUUCUUAGGUUUGUAUACCGUUGUCUAAGUUUAUCUAAAAAGAAUUGAACUAAAAUUAAUCAAUAAAAAAAUCAGAUCAAGGUGCAGCUUGGAAGGGGUGUGGUGGGUUACAAUUAAUCUUUAGUGGAGUAAUAUAUAACUUACUAUGCAAAAUGGAUUUGAAAGUAAUUACAGUUUAACAAGCUUUAAUGAUUAUAACCUUAAGCAUGUACAUAUCGCCCGUCACUCUCAGAAAUGAGAUAAGUCGUAACAAAGUAGAAGUACUGGAAAGUGCUUCUUUUUUUUU